Athalia rosae (coleseed sawfly) is the source of this 4533-nucleotide RNA transcript. It is a transcript of the gene named ATP-dependent zinc metalloprotease YME1L, with no coding region annotated. The record is from RefSeq and is a predicted model, not a curated record. NCBI's taxonomy places the organism in Eukaryota, Metazoa, Arthropoda, Insecta, Hymenoptera, Athaliidae. The transcript is spliced from 15 exons.
AUGCUUCAACUCUAGAGGCAAGAAAACACAUGCACGAAGCGAAGGGACGCUAAAUUGUUUGAUGACAGUUACGACCACUGAUCUAUACCUGCAAUGGUUACAAGCUUUCAGCGGCGAAUGUGGUAAAGUUGGAUAGUCGUGGCGUUGUCGGUCGUGCGAGUUUCAAAUUGGACAAAAAUAAAACGCUGCGAUCGAUUGUUUAAAAAACAUGGUUAGAGUUGAUUUCAAAGAAUAAUAGUUCAGAAGCCCUUCAGUUCAAAUUACUAUAAACGAUAUGUAUGUAUGGUUUCAAAAGAGCAACGAGAUGAGUGCAAUUUUUCUUUCAAAAUUCGUGAUUUGUCGGAUCAUUAUUUGGUAAUUUAUGAAUACGUGUUUCUCCAUUUGAAUUGCCGGAAGCUUAUCGUAUCGUGUGCUCUGCGUACAUCGAGGGAUUGACGUUUUCCGUUCAUGGUUUAUCAGCAAACUUGCGGCAAACUACAGCCAUUCUACAGCAAACCUUUUUUAAAUCAGUGGUGGUGGCACUGCUAGACGUCGAAAUAUCGUCAAGGUUCCUUUCAUCAAGUUCCCAUCAGUUUAUUCUAGACCACUGUAUCUUCGACGUUACUUGCAAUUGACAUUAACCUACGUGCAUCGUUGAUCGUGUUUCUCCGUAUUCCUUUGGCACUCAAAAAGUCUUCCAUGAUUUCACUACAGUCUCACAAUCAGGUGCUUUUCCACCUUACUCAGCUGACAUCCGCUGUCACCCCAAGGCGAGCAGAAUUGGCACGAGCCAAGAGCAGAGUAAAAUCUAACAAUGAGAAGGACAUUUUAUGCUACAAAAGCCUUGCCGAGGCUGCCAAUAACUGCACUGAAUUCCCACUGGAGCGGUUGAAUAUUCAAAACUUGGGGACAGCUCUACAGGUAAACAGGAGCGAAGUAUUGGAAAUCUUAAAGCACAUUUCACGUGGCUCAACUUCAAGGUUUCAGAGCUCUAAUAACAAAUGGAAGAUCUCUUAUCUGUCGGGGAAUAGUUUUGACGAAAAUAAACAAAGUGGUUUGAUAUGUAGACAUAAUUUUGAACGUCAUAGGAUAUUACAAGAUCUGUGUACAAGACCCCUUCAUCUGAAUGCCAUCAUCCGUGGAUUCAAAACUGAACGCAAUGUCAAGGCUGAGCUGGGAAGAAAUCCCAGUUUCAGCGGCAGAGUUCGUCGAUGGUUGGGACUAUCUCCACCAGUUCUCCAGUUCGAGAAGCUUGGAGUGUUAGCAAACGGAGUUGAGACACCACAGGUGGAAAAGUUACGAAGUAUGCUUACUGAAGGAGAAAUGAGUCCAAGUGAACAGCAACGUAUCAAAGUUGCAUUUGCCGAAGGCUACCUGGCUGGACAUGGCCAAAACUACCCUGUCCGUACCAGAAAGUGGUACAAAGUUAUCCAACAAAUAUUUAUCUUUGGGCUUCUCCUAGGUGUUUUGGGCUCAUUUUUUGGUGUGUAUAAAUCAAGUUCCAGCGGUACCAUGUUCAGAAUUCAACUAGGUAACCAAGUGGAAGUAGAUCCUGAGGACAUCGACGUCAAAUUCAGCGACGUCAAAGGGGCCGACGAAGCUAAGCAGGAACUGAAAGAUGUGGUAGAGUUUCUGAAAAACCCUGAAAAAUUCUCAGUCCUUGGUGGUAAGCUACCUAAAGGAGUUCUGCUUGUGGGACCACCGGGCACCGGGAAGACUUUGUUGGCUCGUGCCGUAGCUGGAGAAGCUGGGGUGCCUUUCUUCCACGCAGCGGGCCCAGAAUUUGAUGAAAUACUCGUUGGCCAGGGCGCCAGAAGAGUCAGAGACUUAUUCAAGGCUGCCAAAGAGAGAGCACCCUGCGUUUUAUUCAUCGACGAAAUUGAUUCCGUAGGGGCUAAGCGAACGAAUUCUGUCCUUCAUCCAUACGCUAACCAAACCAUAAAUCAAUUGCUGUCUGAAAUGGACGGUUUCCAUCAGAACGAAGGUGUCAUAGUCCUCGGUGCGACGAACAGGCGAGACGAUUUAGAUACUGCACUGUUGCGCCCUGGUCGAUUCGACGUCGAAGUGACUGUGCCAACACCCGAUUUUUCGGGACGAAAAGAGAUUCUUGAACUGUACCUAGGCAGGGUAUUAAGUAGAGACGUCAACGUGGAGAUAUUGGCAAGAGGAACAACCGGUUUCACUGGUGCAGAUUUGGAAAACAUGGUGAAUCAAGCAGCUCUACGUGCCGCCAUAGACGGAGCUGAGUGUGUCAGCAUGAAGCACCUGGAAAAUGCUAGAGACAAGGUACUGAUGGGACCUGAAAGGAAGGCAAGGUUGCCCGAUGAAGAGGCCAAUCUAAUUACAGCUUAUCAUGAAGGGGGUCACGCGAUCGUCGCUUAUUUCACGAAGGACUCCCACCCCUUACACAAAGUGACCAUAAUGCCUCGUGGGAAAAGUUUGGGACACACUGCUUACAUACCGGAGAAAGACAUCUACCAUACCACAAAACAACAUCUGUUAGCUAUGAUGGAUACAAUGAUGGGGGGGCGAGCUGCCGAGGAGCUCGUUUUCGGACCAGAUAAAAUAACGUCCGGCGCGUCUAACGAUUUGCAAAGAGCAACUUCAAUAGCUCUCGCCAUGGUUAAAGAAUGGGGUAUGUCAGAGAAAGUGGGUCUAAGAACGCACAACGAAGGUAGCAAGAGCUUCAUCACAGUGAACGAAGUUAGUCCAAAUUCUCAAGAACUAAUCGACAGCGAAGUGAAAAGACUAAUGCAGGAAUCGUACGAGCGUGCCAAAACAAUAUUGAAGGCACAUGCAAAAGAGCACAAACAAUUAGCAGAGGCUUUAAUAAAGUACGAGACGCUGGAUGCCGAGGAUGUCAAGGCUAUCAUGACUGGGCAAAGCACUCAUGAAAAACCAACUAAAAAAACAGUGACAGAAGUACCAAAAAAUGUCAUGUAAUAGUCAAAGGUGAACAUGAGAUUGGCAGUAAUUAUCGUCUCAUCUCUGGAUCUCAAUCUUCUCUAAUUUGCUUCAGAUCCAAUGAGAUGUAUUUUACCUUCAGUGCUGUAAGUAGUUUUCAAACAUUAAAGCGUAGCUGAUAGUAAGUGAUAUCAGUGGGGCAGCGGGGAAUAUGAAUGAAGAGAAAAAAUUUACUUUGCUUACAAAUUUCAUUUGUACAUAUAUCUAAAUUUAUUUCAUUGCGGCUCGUUUUCGUCGUUCACUUGCAGAGAUUGUGAUUGGCUUGUAAAGUUAGACACAUUAAAAAUAAUAUUCAACUUUGAAAAAAUUUUCAAUUAUAUUCAUGUCACAAAUUUUACCAGGCAAUCUUCGAGGAUGACAUUGAAAACAAUUAGGUCUACCUCGGAUUAUUUCAUUACCAUAUCGAAACCCCAAAUUUUUUUUUUUUCCUCGUUUAUAGAUAAUAUUUUCAGUGACGCGGUCGCGCGUCACAAGUUGACGUACCCUGUGUCCUCAUAUUAAAAAUUUUCAUGAACAUUACAAACAAUACAUGACGACGGACGAGUAAAAAUCUUCAAACUCUUAUGAACAAAGAUGUACAAUUUAUAAAACUAACGAAUUAAAAUAGAUGUUAUAAAUUUAUAAGUAACUAAUUUUAUGAGGAAUCACAUUAUUAUAUCUUGUAGAUUUUGUUGUUUUUUUUUUCUUUUUUUUUUCUUUCUUUUUUCUUUUAAAGCUAGAUCGUAGAGGUUGAAUUAUAAUACGGCUACAAUAAUGAUGAUGAUGAUAAUGACGAUGAUGAUGACGAUGUUGAUGAUGAUGAUGAUGAUAAUAAUAAUAAUAAUAAUAAUAAUAAUAAUAAAUCAAUCUAAGUAUCAACAGAUAAAAUCAUCGACGAGAUGAAGAAAAAGGUGCCAGCAUUAGGACACCAAUAAAUUAGUGCUAUGCGGUAUAAUUCAAUAAAAAAAAGCUAAAAGUACUCGCUACAACAAUUUUACAUAAUAAAAAAGAAGCCUACAGAGAAGGAAAAAAAAUAGAGAAAUAUUCAGUCCUAUAAAAUAAUUUGUACAUGUAUAAUAAUCAAUCACUUGUUUAUAUAUUUGAUAUUUUCAAUUCAGCUAAAUUUAAUUAAUAGUGAAUAUUAUCAUCAGAGCAUUGAAAUUUACAGUGAGCUCGUGAAUAUUAUUGUUUUGUUUAUUUUUAAUUUUUUUUCUUCUUCAAUGAAAAUAUCAAAGUGAAAUGUAAAAAGAUGAAGAAGCAUGGAUGAAAUACUUGCACGCAGCACUUUGUCUUCAAUUUCAUUACCAUAGUUGACAGAAAAAACGGAAAUAAAAGUUGAUUUGAUUCUUCAAUCUAAAGAACAUAUGUGUCUGUCCAAAGCACUAUUUAUGAAUGACUUCACAUGGGGGACCUCAGUAAGUGAAAACUAUUACGGCAAUGACAUAGAAACUGUGUAUCCUGCAACAAUUACUCGUGUACUACUCUGAAGGAAAAUUGAAGAUAUCCGUAUGAAAUAUUCAUCGACAGAGCGUUGCAACUGCGCUUCUCUCAGCUUAGCCGGCUUCUCAGCAGUCAAUACCGACGGUGAUGGAGAUGUGCCCUCUGAGGGGU